This 448-nucleotide long non-coding RNA is filed under the name Struthio camelus australis. Its description in RNAcentral is "lncRNA (ENSSCUG00000012308.1)". Lineage: Eukaryota; Metazoa; Chordata; Aves; Struthioniformes; Struthionidae. The record is from RNAcentral.
UGCAUGUUGUAACCAACUUUUUUGUUUGUUUUUUCUUUUUUUAAUUAUACCUUCCCAGUCUCCCCUGCCCAUGGAGCCCGUCCAGCAUCCUGGAGCUACUUCCCCCCUUAUUUGGAGAUGGAUAGUGUAAAGCCAGGUUCUGCAUAUGUUACAAAGACUCUGAACCAGUCCCAGCUGAGCUCAGCAUGUGACAGCUUGUUAAGGAGGCCAAUGUGUGUGCAAUUAGGUGAUUUUAAGUGCUUGCUAAGUGCCAGGCAUUAUUUCUGACUGUGUUUCAACUGAUUGCAAAUCUUCUUUGUUGCUGCCUAUGUGUAAAGCUCACACAGCUGCCUCAGCUCUCCCUAUGCUGAAAUCCUUGUCUGUACUUCCCGUGUGACAUUCUGAAGUCACCAGAGGAGGAUUUAUUUUUUAACUAGGCUUUAAUGCUUUUUUUUCUUUUAUGAAAGUG